Molecule: ribosomal RNA, 897 nt
Filed under: Triticum aestivum (bread wheat)
Lineage: Eukaryota; Viridiplantae; Streptophyta; Magnoliopsida; Poales; Poaceae
Description: partial small subunit ribosomal RNA
Source: RNAcentral
AUGAGCGACAUGUUGCCGCCGGCGGCGGCGCCGCCGCUCGACGACGAGAACCUACUCACCGAGAUCCUCCUCCGCCUCCCGCCGCUCCCGUCCUCCCUCCCGCGCGCAUCCCUCGUCUGCAAGCGCUGGCGCAGCCUCACCUCCGACCCAGCCUUCGCCCGCCGCUUCCGCCUCCACCACCGCCGAAACCCUCCCCUCCUCGGUUACUUCCACGGAGUUUUUGACGGGCUCCCCUUCGAACCUGUCCGCUUCGAGCCUACUCUGGAGGCCCCCAAUCGCGUUCCGCCCGGGCGCCUCUCCUUGCAGCUUGACUCCAACCUCCGUGUACUCGGGUGCCGCCAUGGCCUCGUGUUAAUCUUGGACUGGCCCCAGCUCCUGGUGUGGGACCCCUUCGCCGGCCACCAGCACCGCCUAGCCUAUCCCCCGGGGUUCGAUCCGGACAAGUCCAACGGGGCGGUGCUCCGCUCUGCUGCCGGUGCCGGCGAGGUUCACUUCCAGUUCCAGGUCGUCGUGUCAGAUUAUUACGAGACCUGUGUUUACUCGUCAGAGACUGGGGCGUGGGGUUCUCUAAUCUCAACCCCAACUCCAUCCGGGAACUCCCCUGACAGUGACACCAGGGUUCGGGAACUCCAAUUAUGGAAGAGGAAGACCGGUUUCGAUGGCGUUGCAUCAUGGGAGAUGGGAAGAACUGUUGAACUGGGCAAGCUUUUCUCUAUGGAUUCACAUGAUUUCUUGACCAUACAAGGGUACGCCCAGGACAAUAAUUUGGUGUUCCUGUGGACCGGUAGGAGCGUCUUCAUGGUCAAGCUUGAGCCAUUUCAGUGCGAGAAACUUUUAGACACCAACAAGUGGGAUCGUUAUUAUCCAUUUGAAACCGUCUAUGCUACAGGUACCUAG